AGUAUUGAACCUGUUGCUGCAUUAGCCGAGUUGUAUUUUGCUAGAUAGGAGAAGGAGGGUUGUCUGCUGUCUGGUAGGAGGGCUUUGUCUGUGUGCGCCUUUCUCUCUCUCCCUCUCUCGCUCUCCCUGUCUCUCGCACUCUCGCUCGCUCUCGCUCGCUCUCUCUCGCUCGCUCUCCCUUUCCCGUCUCUGUGGUUUGUAAGGUAGGUUGCAGUGUGUGUAUAUACACAACAUCAAGAGCAGGAAAAUGGACUCAUUAGGGAGGCAGGCAGUCAUUACCACUCACACUGUACUUCCAGGGAGACAGCGACUAUGAGGAGACAAACUGAGGACUGGGGAACAAGCAGCAUAAGAAAGAAGUGUUGAGAGCUGCUCUUAACCCUUUUGGAGGCCGAAGUCUAAAGACUGCCUGAAGUUACAUUGUAGAUGCUGAAAUCACUGCACCUUAAAAACAAAAAGAUUAAGCCACACUGCAUUCCUCUUCCUUGGCCAUCAGAGGUUAACCUUGCAAUUACACUAGUGAGCCGAGUUGAAAACACUCGUGGAUUUGCUGGGUCCAGCAGCAAUUUAAAGGGAGGUGUUCAGGGAAAAAUGGGGAAACUCUUCUGAAUCUGUGAGUACCAAAUUUCAUGCUUGUCUUGCAAUUUAGUGUGAACAACCGGGAAAAUUUUUGUUGGAAAGCAGGAGUAAUUCUCUUUCCAAAAUGCAGCAGCAGCAGCAUAAGAGUGAAUUGAGGCAAGUUCUUUGAAUCCUUAGGAUCCAGAUGGUCACUAAGUCCUCCAUGGAUAGCCCAAGAAAAAAUAAGAGUAGCAAUUGGUGCUGGCUGGGAUGAGCUUUUUUUAGUUACAUGAGAUUGUAGACUUUGAAGGGGAAAUAAAUGCACAAGUUUAAAACUCAUGUAUAGGAAAUAUUUUUUGUUUUCUUUUUUUAUCAAAAGUGUCAAGUGCAUCCACACAGAGAUGUUGAGCAGAUUUCUCAAGGUCCAAGUAAAUCAGUGGUCCAACUGGAAAUGGAGUGUGGGAUCAUGACUCCUAAGACUCUCCUGCCUAGGUCUUUCCAUUCCAUAAAGUAAAGGUCCAUAUUUUUAAUCCUUGAGUUUCUUGUGCUAAUAGCUUAAAAAAUCCACAAACAAACAAAAGAAGCUGCAACAAAACAACACCCACAAAACCCCCCCACUUUUAAACUUUUAGCUGCUUUUAAGUUCUGUAGGCUUGGGAUAGUCUGUCUCUGGAAUACAGAAGAACAAGGUGAGGAAAGUUUUACAUAAGCA
Molecule: long non-coding RNA, 1270 nt
Filed under: Corvus moneduloides (New Caledonian crow)
Lineage: Eukaryota; Metazoa; Chordata; Aves; Passeriformes; Corvidae
Description: lncRNA (ENSCMUG00000018371.1)
Source: RNAcentral